UAAAGCGCACGCAGGCGGUCUGUCAAGUCGGAUGUGAAAUCCCCGGGCUCAACCUGGGAACUGCAUUCGAAACUGGCAGGCUAGAGUCUUGUAGAGGGGGGGAGAAUUCCAGGUGUAGCGGUGAAAUGCGUAGAGAUCUGGAGGAAUACCGGUGGCGAAGGCGGCCCCCUGGACAAAGACUGACGCUCAGGUGCGAAAGCGUGGGGAGCAAACAGGAUUAGAUACCCUGGUAGUCCACGCCGUAAACGAUGUCGAUUUGGAGGUUGUGCCCUUGAGGCGUGGCUUCCGGAGCUAACGCGUUAAAUCGACCGCCUGGGGAGUACGGCCGCAAGGUUAAAACUCAAAUGAAUUGACGGGGGCCCGCACAAGCGGUGGAGCAUGUGGUUUAAUUCGAUGCAACGCGAAGAACCUUACCUGGUCUUGACAUCCA
Molecule: ribosomal RNA, 430 nt
Filed under: Klebsiella pneumoniae
Lineage: Bacteria; Pseudomonadati; Pseudomonadota; Gammaproteobacteria; Enterobacterales; Enterobacteriaceae
Description: bacterial SSU rRNA
Rfam family: Bacterial small subunit ribosomal RNA
Source: RNAcentral